AGAGCGAACGCUGGCGGCAGGCCUAAUACAUGCAAGUCGAACGGAUCCUUCGGGAUUAGUGGCGGACGGGUGAGUAACACGUGGGAACGUGCCCUUUGGUUCGGAACAACUCAGGGAAACUUGAGCUAAUACCGAAUGUGCCCUUCGGGGGAAAGAUUUAUCGCCAUUGGAGCGGCCCGCGUCUGAUUAGCUAGUUGGUGGGGUAAAGGCCCACCAAGGCGACGAUCAGUAGCUGGUCUGAGAGGAUGAUCAGCCACACUGGGACUGAGACACGGCCCAGACUCCUACGGGAGGCAGCAGUAGGGAAUCUUGCGCAAUGGGCGAAAGCCUGACGCAGCCAUGCCGCGUGAAUGAUGAAGGUCUUAGGAUUGUAAAAUUCUUUCAGCGGGGACGAUAAUGACGGUACCGCAGAAGAAGCCCCGGCUAACUUCGUGCCAGCAGCCGC
This 445-nucleotide ribosomal RNA is filed under the name uncultured bacterium. RNAcentral's name for it is "SSU rRNA". It matches the Rfam family "Bacterial small subunit ribosomal RNA", at positions 26 to 518 of the family's 1533-position model. The record is from RNAcentral.